Equus asinus (donkey) is the source of this 128-nucleotide small nucleolar RNA. Lineage: Eukaryota; Metazoa; Chordata; Mammalia; Perissodactyla; Equidae. The record is from Ensembl.
CGGUCUUUUCAAAGAGGGCCUAUGGAGCAGUGAAACCAGGAGCUCUUAAUGCUAUUAUCAAAGAUUGAAUUUUUCCAUAGGAUGCCAUAGUCACUUCAUAGGCUAUGUGUUCCUGAGGAGGUGUAGCC